GACGAACGCUGGCGGCGUGCUUAACACAUGCCAGUCGAACGGUGAUGCUCCAGCUUGCUGGCGUGGAUCAGUGGCGAACGGGUGAGUAACACGUGAGCAACCUGCCCCAGACUCUGGAAUAAGCGCUGGAAACGGCGGCUAAUACUGGAUACGAAACUGGCCCGCAUGGGCAUGGUUUGGAAAGUUUUUCGGUUUGGGAUGGGCUCGCGGCCUAUCAGCUUGUUGGUGAGGUAAUGGCUCACCAAGGCGACGACGGGUAGCCGGCCUGAGAGGGCGACCGGCCACACUGGGACUGAGACACGGCCCAGACUCCUACGGGAGGCAGCAGUGGGGAAUAUUGCACAAUGGGCGAAAGCCUGAUGCAGCGACGCCGCGUGAGGGAUGACGGCCUUCGGGUUGUAAACCUCUUUCAGCAGGGAAGAAGCGAAAGUGACGGUACCUGCAGAAGAAGCACCGGCUAACUACGUG
RNAcentral lists this ribosomal RNA (468 nucleotides) under uncultured bacterium. Its description in RNAcentral is "partial 16S ribosomal RNA". It matches the Rfam family "Bacterial small subunit ribosomal RNA", at positions 28 to 507 of the family's 1533-position model. The record is from RNAcentral.